RNAcentral lists this non-coding RNA (148 nucleotides) under Chlorocebus sabaeus (green monkey). The record is from Rfam by way of RNAcentral. Lineage: Eukaryota; Metazoa; Chordata; Mammalia; Primates; Cercopithecidae.
GCCAGGCAUGGUGAUGUGCAUCUGUAGUCCCAGAUACUUGGGAGGCUGAGGCAGGAGGAUUGUUUGAGCCCAGGACUUCAAGGCUGCAGUGAGCUGUGACUGAGCCACUGCACUCCAGCCUGGGUGACAGAGCAAGACCCUGUCUCUA